RNAcentral lists this long non-coding RNA (665 nucleotides) under Macaca nemestrina (pig-tailed macaque). RNAcentral describes it as "lncRNA (ENSMNEG00000046010.1)". Lineage: Eukaryota; Metazoa; Chordata; Mammalia; Primates; Cercopithecidae. The record is from RNAcentral.
UAAAAACAGUCCAGCCUGAUCCUGAUUCUGCACACCCAAGUCACAAGUCCAGGCAGAAGACUUCCAAAUCAAGGGAUGGCCGCAGACUUCUCCAACAGAUAAGCUGCGCAGACACGGCUUCUGCUACUUAACGUCCUCUCGGUAGCUCUCCACUGUGAUUUGCAAGGCUCGUAUUAGCCUGUCAGAAGGGAAGGAUUAACACGUAUUUUGAUUUCUGUUGAAAACACGUUGUUUCAGAAAUAAAGUUGGCAUGGCAGGCAUCUUGGUUGAUUUAAUCUCUGACACAGGAAGUUUAUUUAUAGCAUCACAGCCUUCUGAAUGUUUAAAAACUCAAGCAUUAUAAGCCUGCUGUGCUUUUCCUGCGAAGUAUGGAACGGCACUAAAUGAAUAAUGCCACCAGGGCCAGCAGCAGAGCCAGGAUCCAGAAUCAAACACGGCUUUCAUCUGCUCCUGGCUUUAAAAGAGGUAUCACUGUCUCCUGAUCGGAUCAGCAUUUUGGUAGAGUCACAACCAAAACGGGAGUCCAUCUUCACAGAGACAGACACAGACUUCCUGAGAGUCCCUUCCCAUUGGUUUAAAGAUGCCAAGUCUUCCAUCUCUGCAAGGCCAGGUGCAUUACACCCGAUGGAGGCAUCCACUCGAGACCCUGCGUAUCACAGUCUGAA